GAAAGAGGGGAAGAAAGAAGUUG
This 23-nucleotide non-coding RNA is filed under the name Cricetulus griseus (Chinese hamster). Lineage: Eukaryota; Metazoa; Chordata; Mammalia; Rodentia; Cricetidae. The record is from RNAcentral.